This 714-nucleotide ribosomal RNA is filed under the name uncultured Staphylococcus sp. Its description in RNAcentral is "bacterial SSU rRNA". It matches the Rfam family "Bacterial small subunit ribosomal RNA", at positions 45 to 741 of the family's 1533-position model. Lineage: Bacteria; Bacillati; Bacillota; Bacilli; Caryophanales; Staphylococcaceae. The record is from RNAcentral.
UGCCUAAUACAUGCAAGUCGAGCGAACAGACGAGGAGCUUGCUCCUCUGACGUUAGCGGCGGACGGGUGAGUAACACGUGGGUAACCUACCUAUAAGACUGGGAUAACUUCGGGAAACCGGAGCUAAUACCGGAUAAUAUAUUGAACCGCAUGGUUCAAUAGUGAAAGACGGUUUUGCUGUCACUUAUAGAUGGAUCCGCGCCGCAUUAGCUAGUUGGUAAGGUAACGGCUUACCAAGGCAACGAUGCGUAGCCGACCUGAGAGGGUGAUCGGCCACACUGGAACUGAGACACGGUCCAGACUCCUACGGGAGGCAGCAGUAGGGAAUCUUCCGCAAUGGGCGAAAGCCUGACGGAGCAACGCCGCGUGAGUGAUGAAGGUCUUCGGAUCGUAAAACUCUGUUAUUAGGGAAGAACAAAUGUGUAAGUAACUAUGCACGUCUUGACGGUACCUAAUCAGAAAGCCACGGCUAACUACGUGCCAGCAGCCGCGGUAAUACGUAGGUGGCAAGCGUUAUCCGGAAUUAUUGGGCGUAAAGCGCGCGUAGGCGGUUUUUUAAGUCUGAUGUGAAAGCCCACGGCUCAACCGUGGAGGGUCAUUGGAAACUGAAAAACUUGAGUGCAGAAGAGGAAAGUGGAAUUCCAUGUGUAGCGGUGAAAUGCGCAGAGAUAUGGAGGAACACCAGUGGCGAAGGCGACUUUCUGGUCUGUAACU